AUUGAACGCUGGCGGCAUGCCUUACACAUGCAAGUCGAGCGGCAGCGCGGGGGCAACCCUGGCGGCGAGCGGCGAACGGGUGAGUAAUACAUCGGAACGUGUCCAGUAGCGGGGGAUAACCUGUCGAAAGAUAGGCUAAUACCGCAUACGAUCUACGGAUGAAAGCGGGGGACCGCAAGGCCUCGCACUGUUGGAGCGGCCGAUGUCGGAUUAGCUAGUUGGCGGGGAAAANCCCACCAAGGCGACGAUCCGUAGCUGGUCUGAGAGGACGACCAGCCACACUGGAACUGAGACACGGUCCAGACUCCUACGGGAGGCAGCAGUGGGGAAUUUUGGACAAUGGGGGCAACCCUGAUCCAGCCAUGCCGCGUGAGUGAAGAAGGCCU
RNAcentral lists this ribosomal RNA (386 nucleotides) under uncultured bacterium. RNAcentral's name for it is "bacterial SSU rRNA". It matches the Rfam family "Bacterial small subunit ribosomal RNA", at positions 29 to 417 of the family's 1533-position model. The record is from RNAcentral.